CAUUGACCAAUACGGACGUGUUUUUAAAGCGCUCUGAAAAAAGUUUUGACUUUUAAAUUUUUUUUACUACGACAGAAUCUUAGUUGACUGAUGGUCUUUGACAAAGACAGACUUGUUUUUGUGAGCUCUGAAAAAAAAUUGACUUUGAAAUAUUUUUUACUAUGAAAAAGAUUUGAGUAUUACUGACUUGUACUUUGAGAGUUAAAUUGACUUCGCGUUAUAGAAUAUGACUUGGUACUCGGGUUAUUGAAUGACUGGUGGACUUUAGUGUUAGGUUAUUGUUAUGAGAUGACGACUUGACUUUGACUUGAGUUGUGUGCAAUUAAAUUUGUGUUGUGGUGUGAAUCGAUUGACUGUCAGUUGAAGUUCAGAUGUCGUGCUGUGUGGAUGGGUUUCUACAAAACGUGAGUACAAACUUUUGUGUUUGACUGUUGACGUGUCUCACUGUGUAUGAUGAUUUAUGAUGAUUUUAAGCGGCUGGCGUAUUAUUGCUGAGUUGUUGUACUGAUAGAGAAGUGAAAUGAGUUGGGCAUAAAUUACUCAGUACUGAUAUAGUGUCGAUAUGUUGUGAUGAGAGAUGAUGGUGUUACAAAAUAUUUACUGAGCUACUUUGGGAAACGAACAGAUGAUGUAAAAACAUUGGAAACAUAUUUCAUGAAAAUGCAUGUGCUUAUAUGUACUAAAUAUGAUAUUGCUUUACUUGUAUUUGCAUGCUGUUAACAUUUCUAUUUUAUUCCAGUGGGCUGUGGUGAGUAUUGCAGAUUUAACUUGUAUGUGUGGUUUUUAGUUAACGAUGCUUAAUGAAAACUGUUAUUGUACACUUAGUAUGGAAUGAUGUGAAUGAUGAUAUGAUGGGUAGAAUUAAUCAGUGCUUGUGUCUAGAAAUGCUGAAUGUUUAUUGAAAAGGCUAAAUGCUAGCCAGUACUAAGAGUUGAGCUACCGUGGAAAUGUGAAACGAACUGAUGGUGUAAUAUGAUGGUGUAUUGACAUACUUUUCUUAUAUGUACUAAAUAUGAUAUUGCUUUACUUGUAUUUGCAUGCUGUUAACAUUUCUAUUUUGUUCCAGUGUGCUGUGGUGAGUACUGUAGAUAUUACUUGAUUUUUAGUGUCUAUGAAUGCUGAUGUAUGAUAGCUAUAGCAUGAGCUCAAUGCUAACCAGUAUUAUGAGUUGAUGUAUUGUGGUGAUGCUAAUCGAACUGAUGAUGUAACAUGAUGGUGAACACUUACUGAAUGCAUAAAAUUUAUUGAAUUGCGUUUGUUGAUAUGCACUAUAAUAUGAUAAAUGUAUUGCUUAACAUGUAUAUUUCAUGAUGUUUAAUUUCAGUGGGCUGUGGUGAGUACUGUAGAUUGUAUUGCCUAUGUAUAGAAUUCAAUAAAAGAUUAUGACUGAAAACUGCUUUUGAUUCUUUUUGAACAGUUUUAGGGACUAUAAGUCUAUAACAAAAAUAUGUCGGUUGGCGUUCAUACAGCAAUGUUUUGAGUAGUACAGAAAUGUUUCUACGUUUGUGGUCGCCAGUUGUCUGUGAUGUGUAAAGUGAAAAAUACACGGAGCUUUGAAUACAACAAACAUUUACUGUUUUAACACAGAUUGUGUGCUAUGCAUUUUUCGAUGUAGAUCUUUUUCAGAUUUGACAUGAAAUGUAGACCUGACAUUUGAACAGAGCUGGGAAACGAAAAGGUAAGUUUGUUAAAUUUCACAAUGAACACUUGUGUUUUGACAAAAGAAGAGAUAAAGUGAGUUUUGUCAUCAUCAUGGUUUCUUUCAGAGUAUAACUCGUGAACAGAUGAAAACCUAUUUUUUGCUAGAUUUUCAUGUACUCUUUUUUUGGAUGAUAAGUAUGUCAGUAACUCAAAAUCAUACGGCUAGUACAGUAUGGAACAUGAAUGCUUUGUUCAGAUUUUCAGAUGUGUGCUGGCAGUUUAAGUCUGGCAGCUGAAGUGAACAGUCGUGUUUUCUGGAGCUCCAACAAUAUGCUAGAAGGUAAGUAACUAUGUUUGUUUUGCAUUGCAUGUUUUUAUAUGUUUCAGACUUUCAAGCAGAGAUGUCAUGCUGACUGGAGUUGAGCACAGGGCAGUGACAAAGUGAAAGGUAAGUACUUUUGACUGAAUGUUUGUUCUAUGCAUGUUUUGUUUCAAUACAUUUCAGGAGUGCUUAUCCAGUGAUGAUAUGACAGUUGGAGUGAACAGUGGAGCCAAGCAGUCUUGUUUUUGGAGCUACUCAACAAGCCUUGAAGGUAAGUUUAGAAUUUCUCAAUGUUAGUGAAUUGAAGUACUGUCACUUGCUUUUGGACAGUCGAACAGAACAGACGUGGUUGCGAGAGCUCUCAUAUCUGUUGUGUUAAACUGUUUUUAUGAUAUGUUAUGUUUGUUUGUUUGUUUGUGAUGUACUAUUUUUCAGAUGCUGAUGGCAGUGAUGGGUUUUCAAGCUGACCUGAACAGAAAAGCACUCAUAUGGUAAGUACAAAAUAGUUGUUAUAUGGGAUGUUGUGCAUGCUUUUAUGUUUCAGGUGUACUUGCUGACAGCGACGAAGACGAUGUAAGAAGAGGAACAUUGUUGAGAAAGUGAUUGGGACUGGCAAACAGGGUAAGUGUAACAAUUGUGUUUGUUUAAUUUGUAACAUGCGUGCUUUGCUCUGUUUCGGAUUUCACAUGCAGAAAUUAAACAGGAUUUCAACUGCUGAAACACAAUUCAUCAAAAGUAAGGUAAGUUUUAAUUCAUUGAUUUGAGUUGUACAAUGUGUUCUUUACUUUAUUUCAGAUUCGAGUCACUGGUUUACACAUGGAAGAAGAUUUCCACGUCUGUUACUCAACUCUACAGAAGCAAGGUAAGUCGAUCAAAUUUUUGUUUUAGUUUGUACUGCUGUAAUGUGAUGGUAAACUUAUGCUAUUUUUCAUGUGUGCUAUGCAGAGAUGGAGAAUUCAAUUUUAAGAAAGAUUAACUGCUGCAGCUUAGCUCUGCUCUGUGUUGAUUUUUGUUCAAAAACGUUUAAAAUGUAUGUGUGUUUGAAGAUGUUUUGUUUCAGUUGAUGUCCAGAUGGCAAGCAGUACAGACGUGUUUCUUGGAGCUGCCAAACAGUGAGUACAAACGUUUUAUAUUUUUCAGUUGUUUACUCAUAGAAGUCUGUGAAAGAUGAUAACAAGGGUUGAAUCUAUCAGCACUUGUGUCUAAAAAUGCUGAUGUGUGAUGGUUUACUGAAAGGGGUAAAUGCUAGCCAGUACUUACACUUGAGCAACCGUGGGAUGUCGAACUAACUGAUGAUGUACUAUGAUGGUGAACACUUACUUUGUGUAUCGAAAUGCUUUUGUUGAUAUUUACUAAAUAUUGAUUGACAUUUGUUUGCAUGCUGUUAACAUUUCUAUUUCAUUUCAGUUGGCUGUGGUGAGUAUUGUAGUAUACAUUUGUUUCAAUAAAUCAUGAUGAAUGAACACUGAUUUCGAUUCUUUUUUACAGUUUUAGGGAUUAUCACUCUAUAACAACUCUGUCGGUUGGUGUUCGUGAAUGUGAGCUUAAUGUUUGAGUAGUACAAAAAUGUCUUUACUUUUGUGAUCGCCAGUUGUCUGUGAUGUAAAGUGGAAAAAACACAGCUAUGAAGCAUACAAUUGUUUCAAUAUUUUAUCAAUGAUAGUGUGCUAUGCAUGUUUUGAUUUAGUUCGUUUCAGAUACGACAUGACAUGAAGAGUUGACAGUCGAACAGAGCUGAGCAAAGCAGAAAGGUAAGUGUGUUUCAUUUUAGUAUGAACACUUGUAUUUUGUUUUUAUAUGGUAUGUUUUGUGCAUGCUAUGUUUCAGGUGUACUUGUAGUCAGCGACGAAGUCGAUUCAAGAAGAGGAACAUUGCUGAGAAAGUGAAUGGGACUUGCAAACAGGGUAAGUGUUACAAUUGUUUGUUUGAUUUUUACCAUGCAUACUUUGCUUUGCUCUGUUUCAGAUUUCACAUGCAGAAAUGGUCUCAUAGCAGUGCCAACAGUGAAUAAGGAUUUCAUCUGCUGUGAAACAACUCAACAGAAAGUAGGUAAGCAUUGAAUGAAUGCACUUGAGUUGUACAAUUUGAUGUGAUGCUUUUUUCUGUUUCAGAUUCAAGUUUCUGGUGUAGACAGAAAAAUGUGUUUGAAGAAGGAAUUCUACUACUGUGAUUCAACUCUACAGAAGCAAGGUAAGUAGAAACAAAAUUUUGGUUUAAUUUAACUCAUGUGUUUUGCACUGCAUGCUUUUUUUCAGGUCUCUCAUGCAGUGAGGGAAAAGAAGAAGAUUUCAAGAAAAAAUCACUGCUGCAACUCAGGCCUAUAACAAGGUAAGCGUUUACUAUAUUGUAUACAAAAUGUUUCUCUGUUUUACUCUGUUUCAGGUUUCAAUUGCAGAGAUGUUGCAGAGAUGUUUUGACAGCUUGUGACAGAAAAGGAAUUCACCAGCUGUGUCUCGACUCUAGCCACGAGGUAAGUCGAAACAAAUAUACUGGUUUGUAUGUUAUGUUGUUAUGCCCUUCUAUGUUUCAGACUUACAUUGCUGUGACUGUUCCACAGUGGGUCAAAAAAGAGACGAAUACAGGUUUCAAGAAGAAAAUUGGCUGUUAAAAACCUGCACAAAAUAUGAGGUAAGUAAACUACUCUUUUGGUUUGUUUUGUGCUUUGUUAUGCUUAACUAUUUUUCAGAUUGGAAUGGUGGGUCGUUACAGAGCAGACUUUUGGACUACUGAGAAGUUGAGAAACAGAGAAUGAUUCAAGAUCAGCUAGGUAAGUCUUGAUUAUUAUGCAUUGCUAAAUGUUUUUUUCAUUCCAGUAUGGCUGUGGUAAGUACACAAACUUUCUAUAAUUUAAUAUUGAACUGUUUUUAUGACCUGUAUUCUGCAUUGUAAAAUGUCUGUUUUUCAUUUCAGUAUCCUGUGGUAAGUACACUAACUUUGUAUAAUUUCAUAUUGAAAUGUUUUGAUGACUUGUAUCCUGCUAUGCAAUGCUUAAUAUAUUUUUCAUUUCAGUGUGGCUGUGGUAAGUACAAUUGCCUUCUUUAAUUUUCAUAUUGAACUGUUUUGAUGACUUUUAUUCUGCCAUACAAAAUGUGUUUUUUUUCAUUUCAGUUGCCUGUUGGUAAGUACAAUUUGCUUUCUUUAAUUGCAUAUUGAAAUAUGUUUUAUGACUUUUAUUCUGCUAUGCUUUUUUCAUUUCAGUUUGGCAGAUGUAAGUACACUUCAUUUAUGUAAAAACUGAAUAUGAUUGUUGUGCUAUACAAAAUGUGCUUUUUUCAAUUUCAGGUCAGCAAUGGUAAGUAUAGUGUGUUUUUUUAUGUAUAAUUUUGUAUACAUAUUGUUUUUUUCAUCAUAGCAUGUCUUUUAUAUUUAUGCUUUGUGUAAGUAAAAUGUUCAUAAAUCAUUCUUAUCUUCAAACUAAAAAUGUAUUGUGCUAUGCAAAAUGUCUGUAUGAUUUCAGUUGCCAGAGGUGAGUACCAUUACAGUUGAAAAGUUAGUUUUGUUUAGUUAAAGUUUUGGUUCACAGUUCUGUUUGUUAUUUGGCAAAAUUUACAUGUAUGCAUUGAGUCUUGAUUUCAGCUCGAUUGUGGACUGAAGAAGAUUGCCAGCAGAGGGAUUGGAUACAAAAUACAAACCCUACUACAAGACGAGUGUUUUCUACUACUAGACGUGUCAGGUUUACUUCCAGGCGAGCAGUGACAACAAGGCGCCUUUGUGGAAACAACACAACAAAAAACUGUACUGCUAGACGAGCAGUGACAGAAAGGCGCCUGAACAUGCAACACAAAACAAAAAAUGCCAAUUUGCAAACCUUGAUGUGGACACCGAGUAGUCAAUACAUACGUGUGGGGUACAGCUGCGACAAAACCGUGGGUCCAUCGCACCGAUAACUUGAACAUUGGCCCGUGUAUGGACAUCAGUGCAACUUUGUGAAUCCAUGUAUCUUUGUGAAUCCAUGUAACAUUGCGAAUGUGUGUCGAUCGAAAAAUGUGUACAUUCUGAACUGAAACGAACUCGGUGUUGCAAGUGGCAAGUGUUGACAGUGUGUAUGUUUAUGUUUAUGUUUUUACAUGAAAACUAAAGGAGAUUGUUCUCCUACCUUUUUUUUCCUUGUUUUAUUGCGCUGGCCAGCAAUAUUGAUGUAUUGAUGUAUGUGUUUGUGUUUAAACUAUGCAAUACCAAAAUCAAACAAAAAAUAAACAUUAACAGUCAUUAACUGUGUUUGGGCGGCCGAGGGGUUUAAGACUCCACAAGUGUGAAGCGCACUGAUAGCACUUGGGGGUGAACACCUCGGUAUUUCGGUGCUAAAAUGUUUUCACGGUGCUUAUCUUGACGCACUGUUAAGACUACCAACCAGUUAAUGAUUGCUUCAUCUUUAAACAAAAAGUAAGUCUCUACUUUGGCACAAGAGACUCCAAGUACCAAAUACCAACAAUUAAAAAGCAGACGUUUUUCAAAACUAUGAUCGCUGAGAUUGAUAGUCAGAUGGAGUCCUGCCCAGUUAGCUGUGUAGCGGUCUAGGGCGGGGUUGCAAGUCAAUACGAAAUGAGGCGCUAUAAAGCAACUCGUCCCCGUUAUGACCGUCAAUACUUUCGACACUAUCUGGGAAUCCUUUCAACACCACAUUGUUGCGCUGUUGGAAGGGUGGUAGGCACGCAUGGUGACAUGCCUGUGCUUUGCUAUGCGACACCAUGGUAUUUUCGUACGGUGACACGAAAUAUCUUAAUCUGGCUCUCUCAGAAACGCAGGCACGCGUUGACCGAACCUGACCGAUGACCGAGCAAUAACAUUUCUAUUAAGUGCUUCAAUGCACAAAGUCUGCUAGGCUGGGUGGGAA
This is a long non-coding RNA of Dreissena polymorpha, 6797 nucleotides long. RefSeq lists it as uncharacterized. The record is from RefSeq and is a predicted model, not a curated record. The transcript has 4 exons. Lineage: Eukaryota; Metazoa; Mollusca; Bivalvia; Myida; Dreissenidae.